UGGGGAAUAUUGGGCAAUGGGGGGAAACCCUGACCCAGCAACGCCGCGUGAAGGAAGAAGGCCCUCGGGUUGUAAACUUCUUUUACCAGGGACGAAGGAAGUGACGGUACCUGGAGAAAAAGCAACGGCUAACUACGUGCCAGCAGCCGCGGUAAUACGUAGGUUGCAAGCGUUGUCCGGAUUUACUGGGUGUAAAGGGCGUGUAGGCGGAGGAGCAAGUCAGAUGUGAAAUCCCGGGGCUCAACCCCGGAACUGCAUUUGAAACUGUUUCCCUUGAGUAUCGGAGAGGCAAGCGGAAUUCCUAGUGUAGCGGUGAAAUGCGUAGAUAUUAGGAGGAACACCAGUGGCGAAGGCGGCUUGCUGGACGACAACUGACGCUGAGGCGCGAAAGCGUGGGGAGCAAACAGGAUUAGAUACCCUGGUAGU
Molecule: ribosomal RNA, 426 nt
Filed under: uncultured Oscillospiraceae bacterium
Lineage: Bacteria; Bacillati; Bacillota; Clostridia; Eubacteriales; Oscillospiraceae
Description: bacterial SSU rRNA
Rfam family: Bacterial small subunit ribosomal RNA
Source: RNAcentral